RNAcentral lists this ribosomal RNA (1382 nucleotides) under uncultured bacterium. RNAcentral's name for it is "bacterial SSU rRNA". It matches the Rfam family "Bacterial small subunit ribosomal RNA", at positions 18 to 1395 of the family's 1533-position model. The record is from RNAcentral.
CCUGGCUCAGGAUGAACGCUAGCUACAGGCUUAACACAUGCAAGUCGAGGGGCAGCAUGGUCUUAGCUUGCUAAGGCCGAUGGCGACCGGCGCACGGGUGAGUAACACGUAUCCAACCUGCCGUCUACUCUUGGACAGCCUUCUGAAAGGAAGAUUAAUACAAGAUGGCAUCAUGAGUCCGCAUGUUCACAUGAUUAAAGGUAUUCCGGUAGACGAUGGGGAUGCGUUCCAUUAGAUAGUAGGCGGGGUAACGGCCCACCUAGUCUUCGAUGGAUAGGGGUUCUGAGAGGAAGGUCCCCCACAUUGGAACUGAGACACGGUCCAAACUCCUACGGGAGACAGCAGUGAGGAAUAUUGGUCAAUGGGCGAGAGCCUGAACCAGCCAAGUAGCGUGAAGGAUGACUGCCCUAUGGGUUGUAAACUUCUUUUAUAAAGGAAUAAAGUCGGGUAUGGAUACCCGUUUGCAUGUACUUUAUGAAUAAGGAUCGGCUAACUCCGUGCCAGCAGCCGCGGUAAUACGGAGGAUCCGAGCGUUAUCCGGAUUUAUUGGGUUUAAAGGGAGCGUAGAUGGAUGUUUAAGUCAGUUGUGAAAGUUUGCGGCUCAACCGUAAAAUUGCAGUUGAUACUGGAUAUCUUGAGUGCAGUUGAGGCAGGCGGAAUUCGUGGUGUAGCGGUGAAAUGCUUAGAUAUCACGAAGAACUCCGAUUGCGAAGGCAGCCUGCUAAGCUGCAACUGACAUUGAGGCUCGAAAGUGUGGGUAUCAAACAGGAUUAGAUACCCUGGUAGUCCACACGGUAAACGAUGAAUACUCGCUGUUUGCGAUAUACUGCAAGCGGCCAAGCGAAAGCGUUAAGUAUUCCACCUGGGGAGUACGCCGGCAACGGUGAAACUCAAAGGAAUUGACGGGGGCCCGCACAAGCGGAGGAACAUGUGGUUUAAUUCGAUGAUACGCGAGGAACCUUACCCGGGCUUAAAUUGCAGAUGAAUUACGGUGAAAGCCGUAAGCCGCAAGGCAUCUGUGAAGGUGCUGCAUGGUUGUCGUCAGCUCGUGCCGUGAGGUGUCGGCUUAAGUGCCAUAACGAGCGCAACCCUUGUUGUCAGUUACUAACAGGUUCCGCUGAGGACUCUGACAAGACUGCCAUCGUAAGAUGUGAGGAAGGUGGGGAUGACGUCAAAUCAGCACGGCCCUUACGUCCGGGGCUACACACGUGUUACAAUGGGGGGUACAGAGGGCCGCUACCACGCGAGUGGAUGCCAAUCCCCAAAACCUCUCUCAGUUCGGACUGGAGUCUGCAACCCGACUCCACGAAGCUGGAUUCGCUAGUAAUCGCGCAUCAGCCACGGCGCGGUGAAUACGUUCCCGGGCCUUGUACACACCGCCC